This 806-nucleotide ribosomal RNA is filed under the name uncultured bacterium. RNAcentral's name for it is "bacterial SSU rRNA". It matches the Rfam family "Bacterial small subunit ribosomal RNA", at positions 75 to 886 of the family's 1533-position model. The record is from RNAcentral.
GUUCUUCGGAAUUAGAGACCGGCGCACGGGUGCGUAACGCGUAUGCAACCUACCUUUUACAGAGGGAUAGCCCAGAGAAAUUUGGAUUAAUACCUCAUAGUAUUAUGAAAUGGCAUCAUUUUAUAAUUAAAGUCACAACGGUAAAAGAUGAGCAUGCGUCCCAUUAGCUAGUUGGUAAGGUAACGGCUUACCAAGGCUACGAUGGGUAGGGGUCCUGAGAGGGAGAUCCCCCACACUGGUACUGAGACACGGACCAGACUCCUACGGGAGGCAGCAGUGAGGAAUAUUGGACAAUGGGCGCAAGCCUGAUCCAGCCAUGCCGCGUGCAGGAUGACGGUCCUAUGGAUUGUAAACUGCUUUUAUACGAGAAGAAACACUCCUUCGUGAAGGAGCUUGACGGUAUCGUAAGAAUAAGGAUCGGCUAACUCCGUGCCAGCAGCCGCGGUAAUACGGAGGAUCCAAGCGUUAUCCGGAAUCAUUGGGUUUAAAGGGUCCGUAGGCGGUUUAAUAAGUCAGUGGUGAAAGCCCAUCGCUCAACGGUGGAACGGCCAUUGAUACUGUUAAACUUGAAUUAUUAGGAAGUAACUAGAAUAUGUAGUGUAGCGGUGAAAUGCUUAGAGAUUACAUGGAAUACCAAUUGCGAAGGCAGGUUACUACUAAUGGAUUGACGCUGAUGGACGAAAGCGUGGGUAGCGAACAGGAUUAGAUACCCUGGUAGUCCACGCCGUAAACGAUGGAUACUAGCUGUUGGGAGCAAUCUCAGUGGCUAAGCGAAAGUGAUAAGUAUCCCACCUGGGGAGUACGUU